AGAGUUUGAUCCUGGCUCAGAUUGAACGCUGGCGGCAGGCCUAACACAUGCAAGUCGAGCGGUAGAGAGAAGCUUGCUUCUCUUGAGAGCGGCGGACGGGUGAGUAAUGCCUAGGAAUCUGCCUGGUAGUGGGGGAUAACGUUCGGAAACGGACGCUAAUACCGCAUACGUCCUACGGGAGAAAGCAGGGGACCUUCGGGCCUUGCGCUAUCAGAUGAGCCUAGGUCGGAUUAGCUAGUUGGUGAGGUAAUGGCUCACCAAGGCGACGAUCCGUAACUGGUCUGAGAGGAUGAUCAGUCACACUGGAACUGAGACACGGUCCAGACUCCUACGGGAGGCAGCAGUGGGGAAUAUUGGACAAUGGGCGAAAGCCUGAUCCAGCCAUGCCGCGUGUGUGAAGAAGGUCUUCGGAUUGUAAAGCACUUUAAGUUGGGAGGAAGGGCAGUUACCUAAUACGUGAUUGUUUUGACGUUACCGACAGAAUAAGCACCGGCUAACUCUGUGCCAGCAGCCGCGGUAAUACAGAGGGUGCAAGCGUUAAUCGGAAUUACUGGGCGUAAAGCGCGCGUAGGUGGUUAGUUAAGUUGGAUGUGAAAUCCCCGGGCUCAACCUGGGAACUGCAUUCAAAACUGACUGACUAGAGUAUGGUAGAGGGUGGUGGAAUUUCCUGUGUAGCGGUGAAAUGCGUAGAUAUAGGAAGGAACACCAGUGGCGAAGGCGACCACCUGGACUGAUACUGACACUGAGGUGCGAAAGCGUGGGGAGCAAACAGGAUUAGAUACCCUGGUAGUCCACGCCGUAAACGAUGUCAACUAGCCGUUGGGAGCCUUGAGCUCUUAGUGGCGCAGCUAACGCAUUAAGUUGACCGCCUGGGGAGUACGGCGCAAGGUUAAACUCAAUGAAUU
RNAcentral lists this ribosomal RNA (905 nucleotides) under uncultured bacterium. Its description in RNAcentral is "bacterial SSU rRNA". It matches the Rfam family "Bacterial small subunit ribosomal RNA", at positions 8 to 910 of the family's 1533-position model. The record is from RNAcentral.